CAGAAAGGCCUCCCCAGUGACAGGGUGUCCGAGGGCCCAACCUCUGGGGCCCCAGAAUCAGCAUCUGCACUUCAGUGAGGGGAAGGAGGGUGGGAGGGAUGAUGGAUGGAUGGAUGGAUGGACAAAUGAACAGAUGGAUGAAUGCAUGGGCAGAUGAAUGGAAAGACAGAUGGAUGGAUGGAUGGAUAGAUGGAUGGAUGGUCAGUUGGACAGAUGGAUGGGUGGACAGAUGGAUGGACAGAUAAAUGGAUGGAUGGAUGAAUAGAUGGAUGGACAGACAGAUGGAUGGAUAGAUAAAUGGAUGGAUGGAUGAAUAGAUGGAUGGACAGACAGAUGGAUGGAUAGAUAAAUGGAUGGAUGGAUGAACAGAUGGAUGGACGGACAGAUGGAUGGACAGAUAAAUGGAUGGAUGGAUGGAUGGAUGGAUGGACAGAUGGAUGGAUGGACGGAUGGAUGGACAGAUGGAUGGGGAUGAAGCUGGAGGCGAGAAGUGCAGGGCAGGUGAGUCUCCGCUGGGAAUAUCUGUGGGUUUCUGUUUUUGCACUUGACAUUUGACAAUCACAAAUUGUGUCUUAUUUCUUCUCCUCCUACUUCAUCUUCCAACCCCUGACGUGACGCAACACCCACAUAUACUCACACAGACAGCACACACCUACAUACAGACCGCAGCCACCAUAGGCAAAUGGCACGCUCCAUGACACAAUGACACCCAUGCACUACACACACACACACACACAUACACACACACCUGUUUCCUUACAAAUGCACAUCUUCCCAGGCACACAUGGGACCUCACAAGCGGCCUCAUACACAUAGAGGCAGACAUGCCUUCACGGAUUUGUGAGCAGAUGUGUGGCCACUUCAGGGACACACACUUCCAGUCACCGUGUUCUUCCUCUGCUCUUUCCCAUUACUUUACAAAGUGCUUUCCUGUUGGUUCCCUGCCUGACCUUUUAGAGGGCGUCCUCUGCACUAGGUAACACACACAAAGAUGCCUAGGACUCACCGUGCCCGGGGAGGCUCCUACUCCAGUGCAGGAAACGAGAGAAAGUGACAAUCAAACCUCCUGGGAUCAUACAACUCGGAAACUGUUUCUUGAGCAUGUAUUUUGUGCUGGACCUGCGUUGGGCUUUGGAAAGGCAGAGGGAAGUAAGGUCCCAUCCUCCUGGUCUCAAGGAACUUGCAGACUAAGGAGGAGAGAGACAGGCAAAGACAUAAUACCUUGUCCUGAUGCACACAGGGCAGUGGUAGCCCAGAAAGGGGUGAUGAACGCCUCUGGGAGAGAAUCAGGAAGCACAUCAGUCUGUGCCAGCCGCUGUAACAAAAUUCCUUUAUACUUGCAGCUGGUUCUACAAGCUGGGAAGUCCAAAAUCACCUGCAGACUGGGUGUCUCGUGAGGGCCUGUUCCUCAUAGAUAGUGCUUCUAAGUGUCCUCAGUGGGCCUUACCCUUGAGGGUGGAUUCCUCAUAACCUAAACUGCCACCUUUCAAAAUUGUGGCAGUGGGGAUUAGAUUUUAGGAGCCACACGAUGGAGAGCACUCAGACCACCAAGGAGCGCUCCACCCACCGCAGAAGGCUCCACCCACGGCAGAGGGCUCCACCCACGGCAGAGGGCUCCACCCACGGCAGAGGGCUCCACCCACCGCAGAGGGCUCCACCCACGGCAGAGGGCUCCACCCACCGCAGGCGCUCCAGGCUCCCGGGAGAA
RNAcentral lists this long non-coding RNA (1708 nucleotides) under Marmota monax (woodchuck). The record is from RNAcentral. Lineage: Eukaryota; Metazoa; Chordata; Mammalia; Rodentia; Sciuridae.